CCUACGGGAGGCUGCAGUAGGGAAUAUUGCUCAAUGGGGGAAACCCUGAAGCAGCAACGCCGCGUGGAGGAUGAAGGUUUUCGGAUUUUCAACUCCUUUUGUUAGAGAAGAUAAUGACGGUAUGUAACGAAUAAGCACCGGCUAACUCCGUUCCAGCAGCAGCGGUAAUACGGAGGGUGCCAGCGUUACUCGGAAUCACUGGGCGUAAAGAGCGCGUAGGCGGGAUAGCAAGUCAGAUGUGAAAUCCUAUGGCUCAACCAUAGAACUGCAUUUGACACUGUUAUUCUAGAGUAUGGGAGAGGUAGGUGGAAUUCGUGGUGUAGGGGUAAAAUCCGUAGAGAUCAAGAGGAACACUCAUUGCGAAGGCGACCUGCUAGAACAUAACUGACGCUGAUGCGCGAAAGCGUGGGUAGCAAACAGGAUUAGAUACCCCGGUAGUC
Molecule: ribosomal RNA, 440 nt
Filed under: uncultured bacterium
Lineage: Bacteria
Description: partial 16S ribosomal RNA
Rfam family: Bacterial small subunit ribosomal RNA
Source: RNAcentral